GCCGGACGCGGUGGCGCGCGCCUGUAGUCCCAGCUACUCGGGAGGCUGAGACGGGAGGAUCGCUUGAGCCCAGGAGUUCUGGGCUGUAGUGCGCUAUGCCGAUCGGGUGUCCGCACUAAGUUCGGCAUCAAUAUGGUGACCUCCCGGGAGCGGGGGACCACCAGGUUGCCUAAGGAGGGGUGAACCGGCCCAGGUCGGAAACGGAGCAGGUCAAAAAAAACUCCCGUGCUGAUCAGUAGUGGGAUCGCGCCUGUGAAUAGCCACUGCACUCCAGCAUGGGCAACAUAGCGAGACCCCGUCUCU
Molecule: signal recognition particle RNA, 303 nt
Filed under: Microcebus murinus (gray mouse lemur)
Lineage: Eukaryota; Metazoa; Chordata; Mammalia; Primates; Cheirogaleidae
Description: Metazoan signal recognition particle RNA (ENSMICG00000042165.1)
Rfam family: Metazoan signal recognition particle RNA
About the family: The signal recognition particle (SRP) is a universally conserved ribonucleoprotein. It is involved in the co-translational targeting of proteins to membranes. The eukaryotic SRP consists of a 300-nucleotide 7S RNA and six proteins: SRPs 72, 68, 54, 19, 14, and 9.
Source: RNAcentral